Molecule: ribosomal RNA, 510 nt
Filed under: uncultured bacterium
Lineage: Bacteria
Description: partial 16S ribosomal RNA
Rfam family: Bacterial small subunit ribosomal RNA
Source: RNAcentral
GACGAACGCUGGCGGCGUGCUUAACACAUGCAAGUCGAACGAAGAGCGAUGGAAGCUUGCUUCUAUCAAUCUUAGUGGCGAACGGGUGAGUAACGCGUAAUCAACCUGCCCUUCAGAGGGGGACAACAGUUGGAAACGACUGCUAAUACCGCAUACGAUCUAAACUCGGCAUCGAGGAUAGAUGAAAGGUGGCCUCUACAUGUAAGCUAUCACUGAAGGAGGGGAUUGCGUCUGAUUAGCUAGUUGGAGGGGUAACGGCCCACCAAGGCGAUGAUCAGUAGCCGGUCUGAGAGGAUGAACGGCCACAUUGGGACUGAGACACGGCCCAGACUCCUACGGGAGGCAGCAGUGGGGAAUCUUCCGCAAUGGACGAAAGUCUGACAGAGCAACGCCGCGUGAGUGAUGACGGCCUUCGGGUUGUAAAGCUCUGUUAAUCGGGACGAAAGGCCUUCUUGCGAAUAGUGAGAAGGAUUGACGGUACCGGAAUAGAAAGCCACGGCUAACUACGUG